RNAcentral lists this ribosomal RNA (505 nucleotides) under uncultured bacterium. RNAcentral describes it as "bacterial SSU rRNA". It matches the Rfam family "Bacterial small subunit ribosomal RNA", at positions 18 to 518 of the family's 1533-position model. The record is from RNAcentral.
CCUGGCUUAGGAUGAACGCUAGCGACAGGCCUAACACAUGCAAGUCAGGGGCAGCACAAGGAGCAAUCUGAGGUGGCGACCGGCGCACGGGUGAGUAACACGUAUGCAACCUGCCUGUAAGCGGGGAAUAACCCGUUGAAAGACGGACUAAUACCGCAUAAUACUAAAUUACUGCAUGGUAAUUUAUUUAAACAUUUAUGGCUUACAGAUGGGCAUGCGCAUGAUUAGCUAGUUGGAGAGGUAACGGCUCCCCAAGGCAACGAUCAUUAGGGGUUCUGAGAGGAAGGUCCCCCACACUGGUACUGAGACACGGACCAGACUCCUACGGGAGGCAGCAGUGAGGAAUAUUGGUCAAUGGACGAGAGUCUGAACCAGCCAAGUCGCGUGCAGGAAGAAUGUCCCUAUGGAUUGUAAACUGCUUUUGCAGGGGAAUAAAGUGCAUCACGUGUGAUGUUUUGUAUGUACUCUGCGAAUAAGGAUCGGCUAACUCCGUGCCAGCCGCAGC